AUGAGCGAAUCACAAGACCCCGUGAGAAAAUUUUGCACGAACAUGGGAGACAUUGGGCGCUCCUGCUGCUGUUUAGAUGGGACGAUGCACAGACGACCUGGCACCUCCUGGGCCUCCGGCUACCAUCCACCCCGCUCCGAUGGAUGGGGUGUAGAUCUGAGAGAGCAAGGGGCGCCUGGAAGGUGGCGUUGGCGGCGGCCUCCGGCUGGCACCCAUUCCGCUGCCGUGGAUGGGGGUGUGGAUCUGGCAGAGCAACGACCGCUGGGAAGGAAGAGUUGGCGACGGAGAGCGAUAGUCAGCGAGGACAUCGACGGGGAUUCGACCAUCUCCGUCGCAGAUUUGAGGACGGCAACGAACGGUGAGGUGAGAGCUCCAGCGGGGAACGAGAAGGAAAGAAGGGGAAAGAGGUGA
RNAcentral lists this ribosomal RNA (411 nucleotides) under Triticum aestivum (bread wheat). Its description in RNAcentral is "partial small subunit ribosomal RNA". Lineage: Eukaryota; Viridiplantae; Streptophyta; Magnoliopsida; Poales; Poaceae. The record is from RNAcentral.